Molecule: ribosomal RNA, 492 nt
Filed under: uncultured bacterium
Lineage: Bacteria
Description: partial 16S ribosomal RNA
Rfam family: Bacterial small subunit ribosomal RNA
Source: RNAcentral
GACGAACGCUGGCGGCGUGCUUAACACAUGCAAGUGGAGCGACGAACCAGGGCUUGCCCUGGGGCAGAGCCGCGAACGGGUGAGUAACACGUGGGUAACGUGCCCCGAUGACUGGGACAACCCGGGGAAACCCGGGCUAAUACCGGAUGUGCCCCCUCACAUCAGUGAGGUGUGUAAAGGAAGCUUCGGCCUCCGCAUCGGGAUCGGCCCGCGGCCCAUUAGCUUGUUGGUGAGGUAACGGCUCACCAAGGCUGCGAUGGGUAGCUGGUCUGAGAGGACGAUCAGCCACACUGGGACUGAGACACGGCCCAGACCCCUACGGGAGGCAGCAGUGGGGAAUCUUGCGCAAAGCGCGAAAGCGUGACGCAGCAACGCCGCGUGGGGGAAGACGGCCUUCGGGUUGUAAACCCCUUUCAGUUGGGACGAAGGUCGGGCGGUUAACAGCCGUUCCGGCUGACGGUACCUGCACAAGAAGCCCCGGCUAACUACGUG